AUUGAACGCUGGCGGCAGGCCUAACACAUGCAAGUCGAACGAGUGGCGGACGGGUGAGUAAUGUCUGGGAAACUGCCCGAUGGUGGGGGAUAACUACUGGAAACGGUAGCUAAUACCGCAUACCAUUGGAUGUGCCCAGAUGGGAUUAGCUAGUUGGUGGGGUAACGGCUCACCUAGGCGACGAUCCCUAGCUGGUCUGAGAGGAUGACCAGCCACACGGGAACUGAGACACGGUCCAGACGCCUGCGGGAGGCAGCAGUGGGGAAUAUUGCACAAUGGGGGCAAGCCUGAUGCAGCCAUGCCGCGUGUAUGAAGAAGGCCUUCGGGUUGGAAAGUACUUUCAGCGAGGAGGCGUUACUCGCAGAAGAAGCACCGGCUAACUCCGUGCCAGCCGCCGCGGUAAUUC
Molecule: ribosomal RNA, 406 nt
Filed under: uncultured bacterium
Lineage: Bacteria
Description: partial 16S ribosomal RNA
Rfam family: Bacterial small subunit ribosomal RNA
Source: RNAcentral